GCGCCAAAAGCCGAAGCGGUCGAGGCACUUGUUUGUGAAGCAAGUAAUUAACGGGUUCAAGCCCCGUUUGGCGCCC
Molecule: transfer RNA, 76 nt
Filed under: Calothrix sp. NIES-4105
Lineage: Bacteria; Bacillati; Cyanobacteriota; Cyanophyceae; Nostocales; Calotrichaceae
Also listed under: 1 other name
Description: tRNA-His
Rfam family: tRNA
About the family: Transfer RNA (tRNA) molecules are approximately 80 nucleotides in length.
Source: RNAcentral